CAGAUUGAACGCUGGCGGCAGGCCUAACACAUGCAAGUCGAAUGGUAACAGGAAACAGCUUGCUGUUUCGCUGACGAGUGGCGGACGGGUGAGUAAUGUCUGGGAAACUGCCUGAUGGAGGGGGAUAACGUACUGGAAACGGUAGCUAAUACCGCAUAACGUCGCAAGACCAAGGAGGGGGACCUUCGGGCCGUCUUGCCAUCAGAUGUGCCCAGAUGGGAUUAGCUAGUAGGUGGGGUAACGGCUCGACCUAGGCGACGAUCCCUAGCUGGUCUGAGAGGAUGACCAGCCACACUGGAACUGAGACACGGUCCAGACUCCUACGGGAGGCAGCAGUGGGGAAUAUUGGCUACAAUGGGCGCAAGCCUGAUGCAGCCAUGCCGCGUGUAUGAAGAAGGCCUUCGGGUUGUAAAGUACUUUCAGCGGGGAGGAAGGGAGUAAAGUUAAUACCUUUGCUCAUUGACGUUACCCGCAGAAGAAGCACCGGCUAACUCCGUG
Molecule: ribosomal RNA, 498 nt
Filed under: uncultured bacterium
Lineage: Bacteria
Description: bacterial SSU rRNA
Rfam family: Bacterial small subunit ribosomal RNA
Source: RNAcentral